This 69-nucleotide transfer RNA is filed under the name Ictidomys tridecemlineatus (thirteen-lined ground squirrel). RNAcentral's name for it is "Spermophilus tridecemlineatus (thirteen-lined ground squirrel) tRNA". It matches the Rfam family "tRNA". Rfam says of the family: Transfer RNA (tRNA) molecules are approximately 80 nucleotides in length. Their secondary structure includes four short double-helical elements and three loops (D, anti-codon, and T loops). Lineage: Eukaryota; Metazoa; Chordata; Mammalia; Rodentia; Sciuridae. RNAcentral also lists the same sequence under 1 other name. The record is from Rfam by way of RNAcentral.
GGGGUUGUGGCUCAGUGGUAGAGCACUUGCCUAGCAUGUAUGAGGCACUAGGUUCAAUCCUCAGCCCCA